Molecule: microRNA precursor, 152 nt
Filed under: Gossypium arboreum
Lineage: Eukaryota; Viridiplantae; Streptophyta; Magnoliopsida; Malvales; Malvaceae
Description: MIR7502 microRNA precursor family
Rfam family: MIR7502 microRNA precursor family
Source: Rfam by way of RNAcentral
UAUUAAAAUCUUUAUCCAUUCCUAUUGUUAAAAAUUGGCGUAAUUGACGAAUUAACUAGACAAUUUCACAUGACAUGCUAUGUAUACCUCAAGUAUAUACUGAUGUACAAAUAUCGAUUUUUUAACUGUUGAAAUGGACGAAAUUUUUAACA